CGCUUGUCCCGAAAUGACCUGGAACAAUAGGGAAAUCCCAAUUCAUUGGGCCUUAUGAUACAAUCAAAUAGAACAAAUAGAAAGCCCCAAGGGGGCCAUAUUCUAGGAGCCCAAACUUUGUGAUUGAAUAAAUCCUCCUACGGGUCAAGGGAUCCUUCUCCCUCCUCUUCUUUAAACUCUGAUUGAUAUUUUUCAUAGAGAAAUCUCUGAUCAAGGAUAGAACAAGAGCCCUUUUGCAUCAUAUCUAAGGGAUUCCUUUGUUCAGGCCAAAGAAGCAAUAUCACUCGAUCAUUAUUAAACUAACUGCAAUCUUUUUCUGUCCGUGAAGAUCCCACCAAAGUGCCUUCUACUUCUAAUUGGCCAUGAACUAUAUCAGAAUCAUUCUCAAAAAGUCCAUAAGAAGUGAUCUAAUUUUUUUCAUCGGGUCUGGAUAAAGACCAAAGAUCUGGAACGACCGAUCCAAUAGAACAACUCAAUACAUAAAGAAGUAUAAUUAAUCUUUUCAUGCCCAUUCCAAUCUUGAAGUACCAUUUGUACAAAUAAGAAUCCCCUUCAUUACAUGAUUUAUUCUUCAUAUAGAUAGAUAUAGGAUCUAUGGGGAAAUUACUUAUAAGUACAUUUUAUGCUACAACCCUUCCUAUCUGAUAGAAAAGGACCCCAUGAUCCUGAACCGAUCUUACCUGGGAUCAGAAAUCCCAAGUUUGUCAAUGAAGAGUGGAUGUAAUUGUAUUAGUGUCUAUAAUUGAUUUCUUCUGUGUAAUAAUAAAUGAUAGGACCUCAUUGGUAAGUGCUACAAGAUCUCAUGCAUUGGAACCCAUGGUUAUGGACCCGAAUCUGUUAGUAUGGAACAUUUUCUUUUCCAAGUGAAAUGCCCCAGUAUAUGAAAGAGUGAAAAAGUGCUUUCAUUGUUGUGGAAUAAGAAGCCUUCAUAGCUUAAUGCAUGUAUUUAAUUUAUUCGGAGCUAUUAGAGCGGGAUCCACUUUUUGGGGAAUAUGAGUCAAAGUAAUAACAAGAAUAUUUCUAGUAGAAAAUCUUUCACAAUCCCUGGAGAGAUGGUUCACAAAUAGGCCAAGGGAUAAGUUAUUCGAAUCAUUCACAUCCAGAUCAUGAAUGUUUGGAAUCCAUACUAUGCAAGGAGAUAUUUCUUUUGCUAAUUUGAAUUGAAAGGCGAUAUAAAUUCAAUCUAUUUUUGGUAUCAUAUCCACAGUUAGCCCAUUCAUCCUAGUUAGCAGUUCCAGCUUCGUAUCAAGGUCACGAUCAAUAUCGUCACUAGCAUUAAGAUUUUCACUAUCAUCAAUAUCGAUCUAAUAAAGAAGAAAACCAAUAGGCUUGUUAUCCUGGAAAUUGUUCAGAAAUAUCAUAUUGAAAGGAAUAUAGGAGUUUGUCGCUAGGUAGUUAACCAAAUAGGAUCAUCCAGUUCCUACAGAACCUAUCACUAAAAUACCCCUAGAGGGGGAUAAGGCUAAGCGGAGCAAAAAGGGUUUUCCAUGAGAUGGGAAAUGAAAACUAUUUUCCCCACACGAAGGUUGUGAAUAAGUUAUUAUCUGAUAAUGAGCAAGGAGUAUCCGUCUUUCUGCUAAACAGGAUGGAUUGAACUCAUAAUUCAUUAGAUGCUUUGUAUGAAUGUCAACUAAGUAUCAUAAGUAAAUUAGUCCCAGUUGUUAAAUUAUUAUAUAACAAAAGUCAUUCUUUGAUAAAUGAUCACUAUGAGUCAGACGCCAUAGAAUUUGAUAAAUCCUAUUUUCUAUCGUUAAGGUGGAGAACUUAACAAAGAAUUCUCUUUCUUCAUCAUGAAUUGAAUCACUGUUCGCGACCCAGGAUUCUAUUUUCUCAUCAAUCCAAUCCCCGUUCACAUUUUUUUUCUUAUUAAUAAAUAGAUCUCUUUACUUGUAUAACUUAGAUGUCUCAUAUUUCUCAAAAAAGUGAUUCGAUUGAUGGGAUUUGGUAUGAGAUCGAUGAUCUCGAUGAGAUUGAUAUUAUAAUCUUUCUUCUUAGAACAUAUUAAUUUGACCCCAUAAGCGGGACCAAGCAUGUUGCCGCUAGAAGUAGAACCCCAUAUUUAUUCUAGAGAAUCUCCUAAUUGUUUCAGAGCAACUAGAAAGAGAUUCUUUAACCAAAAAGAAUUCGGUUCAGAUAUAGGAUACCUAUCCAGAAGUUUUUGUAACUUAAUCAUAGAUGAUGGAAUCAUCAAAGAUUUGACCUUUUUGAACUCUGUCUAUAGCUCACUAGAGGCUCGGGAAAUAAAGAAAAGAUUUGUACGAAUGAGAUAUCCAGCAACAAGAAGAAGUAAAAGGAUUGAAUAGAGGAAUUCUCGAGUAUUUGGCGAUCUCAGAUGUGUCGAUAUCAAUGGUGACUCAUUAUUUGAAUCAUUUCUUUGGACAUAAGAAGAUUAUGUAUCAUCCUCCUAUGACUAGUAUCCCCUCAUUCGUUCUUGGACAGAAUUCUCAUGGAUUCUACAUUGUUUAACUUAUGACUAUGCUUCAUACAAUCCAUAUGCUUCUUGAUGACUUCUAGGAGUUGAGUCGUACUCUUAAUAGAUUAUCCCCCAUAAUACACUACCUUGGGCACAAAAUAAAUGUAUGAAUCAUAUGUUACACAUACAAUUCAAGGGAUGAGCCGUAUGAUAGACAAAAAAACUUUUAGAGAUGGGAUAUUACCACAAGGCUGAUGUCCCGAAAGACUAGGGAGUCACCAUCUACUGGAAGGUUCCCCUAAGAGAUUGCCAACCCUCUACUGGCAGGAAUAUCUCUCAUACCUACAUUGGCAACAUAGUUCUGGAACUCAAGGACUACUACUAAAGGUCACACCCUCUGCUGGCAGAUGAUCCCCCAUCCCUGGGUUCACUUGGUGCUAAAUCCUAUUACCAACUGAACUAACAUUAUUAUUAUUAUUGGUUUAACAUGAUGUGUACUGAUAAGUUCUCAUCGUGAAUAUAAUGUUCUGAAUAUAGUAAUUAUAUCAUAUUCUAACUGACCUAUUAGUUGAAAACCAAAACAUAUAAAAAUAGAUAGGUAUCAGGUGUUUAUAACCCUCAAGUACUGAAUGAUGCUUUAAAUACGAUAACAUCACUUCAAACACUUGUAGGAAAUAAUAAUUUAGACAUCCAAAACAUAAUACAGUUCACUAUACUGAUACAUUACAUGAAUUUGAACAUGGGAAUGAGUUAAAUGUAGAAGGAUAAGAUGUUAAUAUAGUUUAGUUCAUAGCGUGAUAAUUUAACAUGGAAUCAUUUGAAUAUGACAUGGCUAAUUGAAAUUCAAAGAAUAAAAUAACCUAAUUCACAUGAAAAAACAUGUUGACAUAGUUUGAAUUCAAAUUACUAAGAAAACAUUGAUUAAAUUCAUGAUUUACAUGGAUACUUUUAUUAAAGAAGAUUAAUCAUUUGUACUUUUUUGUUCUCAAUAGGUUGAUGGAACCCAUUGAUGAAUACCUCACAAACCUCAAUUGGAUGAAAUCUUAAAGAUGGCUUGAAAUUGGAACUUGAAUCCUUGAAUUCUUGGGGAAGAAAGCUUGAAAUUCUUCUUCUUGAGAGAAGGGGAAGGAUUUACGUAAGUUAUCUAAUGGAGAAUGGGAAAAUAAUGCCCUUUUUUGGUGUUAAAAAUCAUGUAUUAGAAGUUUGGGGUAAGGGGUAAACACCAAAUUACCCCUUGGUCCAAAAAUUCCCCGAAUCCCUUUCAAAAAUUUUGAAAUUCUUCUGAGACACCCCUUUAUCAUCUCUAAACAUGUUUCGACCUAAAAAAUCAACAUCUCGAUUUUGGGAAGGCCAAAAAUAGAAUCCGUGAAAUAUUAGGGUCUUGAAAUUGACUAAGUCCCUUUACUUUGUGCAAAAUUCAUGCCAUAGACCCCUUAGACACGCAACGAAGAGUUGAAACGAGCCUAUAAUUUUAUGGGGUGUUACAAUAUCUCCCCCUUGGGAUCAUUCAUCCCUGAAUAAAACUGGUUAAGCUGAGAUAGUAAGGAAACUGGGAUCAUAUGUUGAAUACUCAUGAGCUAAAGCAUGAUUAAAUAACUGAGUCUGAAAUAUGAUACAUGGACUGAACUAAAUUAAUGAAUACAUGCAAUUACAUGAGGAUUGUUAUAUAGAUGAAAUAGAGAACGAAAGAGUCAAUUUAAUAGAAACCAUUACCUUAAACUGAGUCUGAAUUUGUGGAGAAAAAAUUAGGAUACUUGGCUCGUAUAGCUAUUGCUGCUUCCCAAGUAGCUCCUUCAAUGGACUGAUUUCUCCAUAAAACCUUAACCAAGGGAACUUUUUUAUUCCUCAACCUAUGAAUUAGGUGAUCACGGACUUCAACUAGGACUUCUUCAUAAGAAAAACCAUCAUUCACAUCCACUCUCUCUAUAGGAACAACAAAAGUUAAUCACCAAUACACUUUUUUAGCAGCGAAACAUGAAACAUCGGAUGUACUGAUGCCAAAUCUGCAGGCAACUCUAACUCAUAAACUACCUUCCCAAAGAGUCUUAAUUCUAUACGGAUGAACAUAACAAGGAAUUAGCUUCCCCUUCUUGCCGAAUCUCUUCACCCCUUUCAUCAAUCAAAUUUUUAGAUAAACCAAUUCACAAAUAUCAAACUCAAGAUCUCUUAUUCUCACAUUCGUAUAAGAUUUCUGACGAGUUUGUGUUGUCUUCAGCCUUUUGUAGAUCAACUGAACUUUAUCCAUUGCCUCAAUCACUAACUUUGACCCUUCAAAAGUAGCAUCGCCUACUUUAAACCAACCAAUAGGAUACCUACAUAUCCUCUCAUAGAGAGCUUCAAAUGGAGCCAUAUGAAUAGUGGUGUGAUAGUUGUUCUCAUAGGUAAACUCAAUAAAAGGUAAGUGGUCAUCCCAACUACCCUUGAAGUUAAAAAAAACAAGCCCCCAAUAUGUCUUCUCAUAUUUGAAUGUCCCUGUCUUCCUGGUCAUUUGUCUAUGGAUGAAAAUUUGUACAGAGAUGAACUCGGAUACCAAGACCCUUCUCAAAAGCCUUUAAAAAGUAAGAGGUAAACUAAGUACCUUGAUUUGAAAUGAUCAUCAAUGGAACCCCAUGCAACUUAACUAACUCCUUGAGAUAGAGUAUAGCUUAAUCCUAAGCUAAAUAUGAAGUAUGAACUAUAAGGAAAUGGGUUGACUUGGUCAUUCUAUCUACAAUGACCAAUAUCAAAUCAUGAUGACAUCACAUAGGAGGUAAUUCUUUUGCAAAAUUGAUCUUCACCACCUCCUACAUUACAGUGGGGAUACUGAACUCCUGAAGCGUACCACUAGACCUUUGGUGCUCAACCUUAACUUGAUGAUAAUUCGAACACCUAGCCAUAAAUUCUGCAAUAUCCUUCUUCAUACCAAUCCACCAAUAGAUUUCCCAUAAAUUACGGUAUAUCUUAGUGGCCCCUACAUAAAUAGAAUACCUCUCGCCAUGAGCUUCUACAAAUAUACGAUGCCUUAAACAAUCAAUAUACGGAACACAUAAUCUGCCCUAACGAUGAAGUACACUAUCUCCCCCUUAUGAUAAAACCUCCAUUUUUUGGUCUCUAACUACCUCCUUCAACUUAACCAAACUAGGGUCCCUACUUUGAUUUUCAUUUACUUUGGUAGCCAAUGAAGAUUCUGAACCAUUCUGAACCUCUAUACUACCUUUGGUCGAAUCGACCACUGAACUCCUAAUCUAGUAAGUUGAUCAACCUCAUUAACUAACUCCCUCUUAUCAUCCUCAACAUGUGUCAUAUCAUAGUCUUUAAUAAUUCAAGCCACCUUUUCUGAUGAAGAUUCAGGUCUUUUUGUGUGAACACAUACUGUAAACUCUUAUGAUCCAUAAAUGCAUCAACAUGAACCCCAUAAAGGUAAUGCCUCCAAAUCUUUUAGGCAAAAACCACAGUUGCCAACUUAAGGUCAUGGGUUGGAUAAUUCUUCUCAUGGGGUUUAAGUUGUCUAGUGGAAUAGACUAUGACCUUACCUCGCUACAUUAACACACAACCAAGACAAACUCUAGAAGCAUCAAAAUAAACUACUAAUCCAUUUGUGCCAUUUGAUAAAGUAAAGACUAGAGCAGAAGUGAGUUAAGUAUUCAACUCUUAAAAACACUUCUCGCAAGAAUCUGACCAUAAAUAUUUGACUUUAUUCUAGGUUAGUCGAGAGAUGGGAAAAGAAAUAGAAGAAAACCCUUCAGCAAACCAUAUGUAAUUGCCAGCUAAACAUGAGAACAUCCUGAUAUCUGAUAGAGAGAUAGCUCUAGACCAAUUUUUUAUUUCUUCAGUCAUUUGAGGAUCAACUCAAAUGCCAUCAUCGAAAAUAAUAUGACCAAAGAAACCUACUAAUCUCAAAAAGAAAUAACACUUGAUGAACUUAGAAAAUAACUAAUGAUCCUUAAGGAACUGCAAUACAACCCUCAAAUGGUCUGCAUGAUCACCUUCACUACAAGAAUAGAUGAGGAUGCCAUCAAUAAAAGCUAUGAAGAACAUGCCCAUAUACUGUUUCAACAACCUAUUUAUCAAGUUCAUAAAAGUUACAAGAUCAUUCAUUAGUCUAAAAUACAUAACUAGGAAUUCAAAGUUAUUGUAUGGAGUUUUGAAGGCUGUCUUCAGAAAUCACAUUCUCUGACUCUAAGCUGAUGAUACCUGGAAUUGAGGUCUAUUGUAGAGAAAUAGUUUGCACCUUGAUGUUGUUCAAACAAGUCAUCACUCCUAGGGAGAGGAUACUUAUUAUUGAUUACAACUUUGUUCAACUAACGGUAGUCGAUGCAUAUUUUGAGUGAACCAUUUUUUUGUACACAAAGAGGACUAGAGCUUCCUAUGGAGAAAUGCUAGGCUAAGAGAUCUUUCAACUGUUCCUUUAAUACCUUAAGCUCAAAUGGAGCCAUCUAUAAAGCUGAACAGAGAUAGGUUAGGUAUUUGAAAGGAGAUCUAUUUCAAAGUCAAUUUUUAUUUCAAGAGGAACUACGAGAAUAUAUCUCGAAAAUCAUUUAAAAUAGGAAUUGACUCAAGGCUUAGGGUUUCAUAAUUUGAAUCCUUGACUUGAACGAGAUGGUAAAUAAACCCCUUGGAUAUCAUAUUUAUUUCUUUAAGAUAAGAAAAAAACUCUCUUAAGUAAACCAAUUUAUUAGGAAACUAGAACUGAACAAUUUUAUUCCUACAGUUAUCUAAGGCAUAACAUGAAUAGAUUCAAUCCAUGCUGAGAAUGACAUCAAAAUCCAUCAUCUCUAACUCCUCAAGGUCAAUUGAAGUAACUUUUUGAAACAUUGUGAUAGGGCAAUUUUUGAAUAUCGAUCUUGCUAUAAUAGAACUACCUACUGGGGAAGACACUGAGAAGGGCUCUACUAAUGUUUUGGGACUGACAAUGAAGUCUACAGCUAUAUAUGGAUUCAAAAAGAAAGUAAAGCUCCGAGGUCUAACAAUUCAUAAACAUAAAGAUGGAAGACUUAUAAUGUAUCCAUUGCAACAUCAGGGAACUCUCCUAAUCAUUUCAUUUUGGAAGAGCGUAAAAUUUGUUCUGGAAUUUUCCACUGGUGGCACUGGAAAAGGUACCAUGCUGAGUCGGCCAACCUGCUAGAGCUGAUGAAAAAUUAAACUAGCCUAGCCAACGAACCUCUUUUCCCUUUGGGCAAACCAUUGGGAAAUCCCUAAUUCUAUGGCCUAGUUUUCCAUACCCAAAACACAUAUCACUACCUUCUAUGAACUCCCCCUAUAACUUUUCCCAUACUUCUUGUAGAGUGGAUUGGUACGACUAGUGUUCACACAGCACUGGGACUUAGAGCCUGAUUCUCUAUUCCAACUAUCUUGUGCGUACUUAGUCACUGGUGAACUAGCUGAGGAUGAAGCUAGAUUUGAGAAUUUCUAUUGGAACUAAGAAUGGUUACCUCCUUCCGACCUUGACUGAGAAAAGUCAAAGCUACCUGUUCUUGCCCUCUUAUUCUCUUUUUCCUUCUCUUUAAUCUUCUCCUCCUCAUUCUACUGAGCAUUAGAUAUUAUCCUAGAAAGGUCUAUCUCCUUAAUAAAUAUGGCAGUCCUACAAUCCUUGACUACACUAUCAGAUACAUAAGACACAAACUUACUCAUCCUGACCCUGGAGUCAUCCACCAUAGUCUGACAUACCUCGCCAACUAAGUGAAUAUGAGCAACUAAUACCUCACACUCAUGCUACCGUGCUUCAAAUUUAUAAACUCCUGAACCUUAGCAUCCCUCAACUCUAGUGGGAAGAACCUAUAUUACAAAGUCAUGGAAAACUCUUCCACUCUAUAGGUCCUACAUCAACACCCCAGCCCUUUUUCCACUACUUAAACCAGGUAUGAGCUACUUCCUACAACUUAUAUGCAGCUAUGUCUACACUUUCACCAGAACUGAUACCCAUGAUAUUUUUCACUUUAUACACCCCCAUCAAGAAACUUCUAAGGAUCCUUCAAGAUAUGGAUUCAGCAAAUAAAAGGUGAUUUAUUUGAGUGAAAACUAGAUUCUAGCUGUAGUUGCAAUCAAACUGGAUUGGCUAGAGCAAUAGGCUACUAGUUGUUCUGAGCAUAUACAUGAUGGGCCAAAGCUAUGAAAGCAGCCCUAAACUAGACAUGGGAAACAUGGUCGUUUGGGGGAUCUUUUUGAAUAGGUGAGGGUGCGGGUUAAUCCCCAUUCCUUAUUCAAUUAUUUAAUCUAGGAUGAAUUUUUUAUUAACGGAAUGAAAGAUGAUUUAGAUAAAAUAAUAUAAUAGAGCUCAUGCUCAUUCACACGACAUGAAUACUGAAAGAAUGGAAACUUUCCUAAAAAUGUCUCACAGCCUCUUCUCCAUAAGUGUGGCGCGCUUCACACCCAUGUAUAAAACUCAAUUAAAUGCAAAUUUUCAAAUACCCUAGGAUAUUUUAAAACCUUUGGCUAUGAUACCAAGUUUUUUCAGGACCUGAUGCUACCCCCUAGUCAUGACACAGUGCUUAAGGCCACAAGUGACCCCAAGUUAACCCAUGAUCUGGUACUUAUUAUGAGCACUAAAUAAAAGAAUUAAAAAACACAUCAUGUUUAGAAUAAAAACUAAUAAAUUUCUUUCAAAAUGUAAUAUAUAAUCGAAUACCACCAUGUUCAAAUAACUAAUAAAAACUAAAUACUAGACUGACAGUGUAAUACCCCAUACUUUUCCUAGCUUAAAUUCGUUCCUAGAAUGUUAAGAAAUAGCUUACACAAAGAAGAAUAUUUAUUUUGUAUGGUAAUUUCCAUAUUUAUACCUCUCAUUAUGUGUAAAAUUGAAUGAGCUCUCCAUCGAUACCAAGUUUGCCUAUAUCCGACACUCGGUGAAAGAGUUAUGAUAUUUUUAAGUUGAUAGUGUACCACCUGGGCACUUGGCGCAUUGCAGAGGAGGGUAAAAUGAUAAUUGUCAAAUUAUAGUGGCCUUACAUAAUAGCCUCACAUCGUAGAGAAUCCCAAGUUCCUAAUUUUCCCAUUCCAGUAGACUGAGGUGAUAUUGGCACAUCGCAGAGAGGGCCAAUUUCUCAAUUGUCGAUUUUAAGUAGCCUAACACGAUAUUGGUGCAUCGCGCUAGUGGCAAAAAUAGAAUUUCAAAGGGGUACCGUGAUGGUGGCAAGUCAUGGAGAAUGUCCAUUUCCGUCUUAUCAAUGUUCCAGUAAGCCACCGCAAUAGUGGUGCAUCGUGGUGGCCAUCCAAAUCAGAAAACUAUUACAUUUUCAGUUUCGUCCAGAAGUUUAAAGAGGAAAUUUUGGUCAAUUCCAAAGGCCCCAAUUCAUCAAAAAUAAGGAAUUAAACCCAUUCUAAGUAAUUUAUGCCUAAUUUCAUCCAUUCUCUCCCAAAGCAAAAACCUAGAACACUAAAACCUCUUCUCCAAGAAAUCAAAAUUCUCCAUUGAUUCUCCAAGAAAGAUUAAGAUUGAGGAUUCCCAAGGUAGGAUAACCAAUAAUCCAUCUCCAAGAACUCAAAUAGGAAUCAAUAAUUUAAAUUUCUUUAUCUAAUCAUCAAUCAAGGUAUGUGAGGUUUAUGAAUAAGGAUCCUCUUUCAUUCUUGUGCCGAAAACCAAGUUUUAUUUACAAAUUCUUAAUAUUUUAAUGAAUAUUCAUGAGAUUUGAAUUAGGGUUCAUACCCAUUAUUGCUCUUUGCAAGAUUUUGAGAGUUCAAGUGUUUUACAAGAUGAAUUGCAUGUCUAUUUUUAUAUUUUUAUGCCUAUUGUAGAAAUUUAUAGAUUUUUAGAUAAAUUAUCUUUGUUUUCUUUACUAAGGAUAUUAUAAUGAUAUUUUGACAUGAUUUUGAUGCAUGGAUUACUAAGCUCCAAGUUUAUAUAUUAAUAUUUCAAGAAAGAUGAUGUUUUAAGCAUCCUAUGAUAAGUUUUAUAAUCUACUUUACAAAUUUAUUACAUAUUAUAGAAAGAAAAAUAGCUUCAUCUUCAAACUGAUUCAAAUAAGCGCAUAACUAGUUUCAUAAUAAACCCUUAUUCUAGUUUUAAAGUGGAUUUUCAACAAGAUGAGCGUAGAAAAUAAAAAAGGAAGUAGUAUUUAGCACCAAGUUGAGUAUGAUUCCAAGGUAUCAUACCCCUGAACUAUGUGCCAUCAUAGAAUUGAGAUUUGAGAGCCUAUAGUAGACUGAGAUAGUGAUCACUUAAGAUGAGGUUGUACUCCCUGGCAAGAGUAUGACACCUCUCCCCAAUAUGAGGUUUCUUCCUUAGGAGGACGAGAUGUUGUGCUCCAUGCAGCUUGCAUGGUUUAUAUCGGUUAAGAGAACCUCCCUUGCAAAAUAGUUUUUCCCUAAUAGUAAAGCCUAACCAAAAAAAAUUACAGAAAAGUUUUUAGUAAACUAAGUGUAAAGGCUCACAAAGUUUACUCAGAUUAUGCUUUACAGAAAGAUAACAGUUACAGACUUUAGCUUUUAGAUUUCUGAUUUUAGAAGUGAGCUCUUUCAACACUUAGAAAGUAUGAUUUACAAAUAGAAUACGAGUAUAGCUUUCAGAACAAGAUGUUAUGAAUUACUAGAUUUAUAAAGUAAAAUUGAUUUAUUAUUCAUGAUUUCAGUAUUUUAGAUACUCCAGCUUAUGUGAGUCAUUUACAUUUAGCAUACAUUGGUUAAUAAAUUAUGAUGAUGAUAUGAUGUUUUACUUAUGAAUUUUACCCUCGUAUACUCAGUACAUCCUAAGAGUACUGAUCCAUAUAUUUGUCUAUGUGCUACAUUAUCUCAUAAUAUAGGUUUAGGUGCUCAGUAUCAGUAGUGUGAGUAGUCCAAGCAUCUCCAUCUACAUCCUACAGUUGGUAAGUCCUUAUAGUUUGGAGACUUGUCACUUAGAUUUUACAGCUUAUUAGUUUACAUGAUUUAGUAUUCUUUUCAGACAGUUCAAGUUAGCUGGGGGUUUAUCCCAGUGACUCUCUAGAUGUUAGUAGUAGAGGCUUGUCAGACUACUAGUUGUGAUUCAACUUAAUCAGUGUUGAUGUUUCAUACAUUAUACUCAAAUUAUUCUUAGUUAUUUCAGACAAUUUCUACAUUCAAUAUGACUUUCAUGUCUAUAUUACCUUGAUUAUGAGAUUUAUAUCUAUGUAGAAGGCAGACUGGGUUAGCUUAAGGCUACUCAUAGUCUUAAGCACCGUGUGACAUCUCGGGAUCAGAUUUCAAGGUGUUACAAGCUUGGUAUCAUAGCCUAAGGUUUUUAAGAGUCAUAUAGAGUUAGACAAGCGUUGUACGUAGAGUCUUGAUCGUGGGUGUGAAGCAUGCCAUAUUUAUGAGCAAGAGGCUAUGGAACAUUCAUAGGAAAUUAUCUUUUUCUUUCAUGAUCUAUCAUGCUUACAGUAUCUCUAUCUUCUUUUAACUCAUGCUCUUACGUGAUAGUUAAAUAUGCCUCUUCAUUGAGCUAACGCCUGUAAAAAUAAUAACCAGCCUCCUCAGCCCGUAGAUCCUUUGAAUGAGAUUGUAUCCCAUGCUAAGUUUAAGACUGCCUUUCAAGCAUUAGCCCAAGCUGUGACUACCAAUGUUUAGGGAAAUCAUCAAAAUCAGGUUGUAGUCUUACUUCAUCAAAAUGGGGAUUUAGUAGCAGCUAGAAUCAGAGACUUCAUGAGCUUGAAUAUACCAGAGUUCUUUGGGUCAAAAGUAGGUGAGGACCCACAUCUUUAUAUAUAUGAGGUGAAGAAUAUCACCCAAAUUAUACAUGUUUCUAAGGAGGAGAAUGUAGAGUUAGCAUCCUAGAGAUUGGAGGAUGUAGAGUAUGAUUGGGUAGUGAUAUGGAAGAAUGGUAAAGGUGAGAAUGUUGUUCCUAUGAGUUGAUAGGUGUUUCAAAAUGCUUUUAUAGAUAGGUUCUUCCCACAUGAGAUGAGGGAAGCUAAGAUAGAAAAGUUUGUAAAUUUGAAGCAGGGCUCGAUGAUAGUGAAGGAGUACUGCCUUAAGUUCCAUCAGUUGUCUAAUUAUUCCCUAGAUACGAUAUCUGAUCCCAGGGAUAGUAUGAGUAAGUUUAUUAAUGGAGUGUCUAUCUUGGUAGUUAAGGAGUGUAGGACUACCAUGAUUAUUGGAGAAAUGGAUCUUACUAGAUUGAUGAUGCAUGCUCAACAGAUUAAGCCAGAGAAGUUGAAGGAGAGAGAUAGAAAUAAUUAGAGGGCUAGGAUAGGACAAUUUGAGUAUGGUUAGAAUAGGUAUCAAGGAUGAAAUCAUUUGCAGUUUCAGAAUCAUUCAUCUAUGCAAGCACCAUCUUUAGCAAGUGAUCUCACUCCCAGAGGUAGGCAGGAACAAUAGGGGAAGUCUUCUAUGAAUCUUAGAAUAGUUAAGUGGAAGACCUCGUUAUCCUCCUUAUGCUAAGUGUUGUAGAAAUCACCCCCAUGAGUGUUUUCCUGGACAAAAGGGUUGUUUUGGUUAUUGUAAGUUGAUUCGUAGAGUUAAAAAGUUCCUACAUGCCAAGCAGAAAAAUAGAGAUGAUCAUCCCUAGACUCAGACUACUAGUGCUCCAGCUCCUUUCGGUCGCCCUAUCCCUCCUCACGAUACAUCAUCCAAUAUCAAAGGUGGUCUACUCCAGAAUCGAUUCUAUACUUUACCAUCCUAUAAGAAGCAGGAGAAUUCACCAGAUGUUGUUACUGGUAUGUUUGGUGUCUUUUAUUUUGAUGUUUAUGUGUUGUUAGACCCUAGAUCGAGUUUCUCUUAUGUGACCCCAUUGGUUGCAGUAAAUUUUGAGAUAAGUUUUGAAAUGAUUCCUGAGCCUUUCUUGGUGUCUACCCCAGUGGUUGAGUCAGUUAUUGCUAAAUAGAUCUAUAGAAAGUGUCCUGUCACUAUCCUUCAUAAAGUCAUGUUAGAGGACCUAAUAGAGUUAGAUAUGGUUGACUUUGAUCUUAUUCUUGGUAUGGAUUGGCUCCAUUCUUGUUAUUCCUUUAUAGAUUGUCACACCUGAGUGGUGAAGUUUUAGUUUCUAGAUGAGCCAGUUUGUGAUUAGUCAGGUAAUUCAGUGGCUCCCAAAAGUCAUUUCAUAUCUUAUCUUAAAGACCAAAAGUUGAUCUCCAAAGGGUGUAUCUAUCAUCUUGUUUGAGUUAAAGAUAUUAAGUCUGAGACUCCAACAGUUCAGUCAGUCAGUGUAGUUAAUGAGUUUCCAGAUAUUUUUUCCAAAGAUCUGCUAGGGGUACCUCCCGAUAGGGAAAUAGAAUUUGGUAUUGACCUUCUUCCAGAUACUUAACCUAUUUCUAUACCACAAUAUCAUAUGGCUCCCACCGAGCUCAAGGAGUUGAAAGAGCAACUCAAAUAUCUUUUACAUAAAGGUUUUAUAAGGCCUAGUGUUUCUCCAUGGGGAACUCCCAUCUUAUUCGUGUGAAAGAAAGAGGGUUCUUUGCGUAUCUGCAUUGAAUAUCGUCAAUUAAAUAAAGUUACAAUAAAAACAAAUAUCCUCUUCCUAGAAUUGAUGACUUAUUUGAUCAACUCCAAGGUGCAAGUUAUUUCUCAAAGAUAGACCUUAGAUCCGGCUAUCAUCAGCUUAAAGUAAGGGAAUGUGAUAUUUCAAAGACAGCUUUCAGAACUCGUUAUGGUCAUUUUGAGUUUCUAGUCAUGUCCUUCGGACUAACAAAUGCCCCAGCAGCUUUCAUAGACUUGAUGAACAGAGUGUUCCAAUAGUAUUUGGACAUGUUUUUUAUAUUCUUCAUCAAUGAUAUUCUUAUCUACUCUCGUAGUGAGGAUGAUCAUGCAGAUCAUCUUAAAAUUGUGUUAAGACCCUUAAAGAUCACCACUUAUUCACCAAGUUUAGCAAGUGUGAAUUUUGGCUAAGGUUAGUAGCUUUCCAUGGUCAUAUCAUUUCCAAUAAAGGUAUUAGAGUUGAUCCCUAAAAGACAGAAGACGUAAGAAAUUGGCCAAGACCUAUUUUCCCAUUAGACAUUAGGAGUUUCUUGGGUCUAUAUGGUUAUUACAGAUAUUUCAUUGAGGGUUUCUUGUCUAUUGUGUCUCCUAUGUCUAGAUUGACCCAAAAUAAAGUUAAGUUUCAGUGGUCAGAUCCUGCGUGAAGAGUUUUUAGGAGUUUAAGACAACUCACUUCAUCCCCAGUUUUAGCAUUACCUGAUAGUACAGAUGGUUUUUUGGUUUACUUUGAUGCCUCCAGAGUUUGUUUUUGUUGUGUUUUGAUGCAGAGAGGUAAGGUCAUAGCCUAUGCCUCCAGAUAGCUUAUGCCCCAUGAAAAAAAUUACCCAACCCAUGAUCUUGAGUUAGUUGUUGUUGUAUGUGCUUUGAAAAUCUGGAGACAUUAUUUGUAUGGUGUGCAUGUUGAUGUGUUCACGAAUCACAAAAGCUUUCAGUAUGUGUUUACUCAAAAGGAGUUGAAUCUUCGGUAGAGGAGAUGGUUAGAAUUGUUGAAAGAUUAUGAUAUGAGUGUGUUGUAUCAUCUGGGCAAGGCCAAUGUAGUGGCAGACACCCUUAGUAGACUUUUUAUAAGAAGCGUUAUCCAUGUGGAGAAUGAUAAGAAAGAGUUAGUUUGAGAAGUUCAUCGAUUAGAUAGAUUGGAUGUUGGUUGGUUGACUCAGCUGAAGGGAAUGUUUAGGUUCAAAAUAGUUCUGAAUCUUCCCUAGUUUUGGAAGUGAAGGAGAAGCAAGAUAAGGAUCCUAGUUUGGUCAAACUGAAAGAGUCAGUUAAACACCAAAAGGUAGAGGUUUUCUCCCAUAAAGGAGAUGGUCUUUUGAGAUACCAGACUAAAUUAUGUGUGCCUUGUAUUGAUGAUUUGAGGAAGUGGAUUAUGGCAAGAAGCGCAUGGUGCACGUUGUUCUAUCUAUCCAGGAGCCACCACGAUGUACCGCAACUUAUGGGAAAUCUAUUGGUGGAGUGGUAUGAAAAGAGAUAUAGCAAAUUUUGUAGCCAAGUAUGGAACUUUUUAACGGUUUAAUAUAGAGCACCAAAGACCUAAUGGUACAUUGAAAUAGUUUAGUAUACCCACCUGGAAGUGGGAAGCGGUGAAUAUGGAUUUUUUUACUAGGUUGCCCCAUUCGCGUCGCCAGCAUGACUCGAUUUAGGUUAUUGUACACAGAUUGACUAAGAUAGUGCAUUUCUUGCUAGUUCACACGUCUUACACGGCUAAAGAUUAUGCUAAGUUGUAUAUCCGAGAGAUAGUCAGAUUGCAUGGAGUUCCUUUAUCCAUAAUCUCAGAUAGGGGUACUCAGUUUUCCUCUUAGUUUUGGAGAGCUUUUCAGAAGGGUCUUUGUAACCAAGUUCAUCUUAGUUCAGCUUUUCAUUCGUGGAUAGUUGGUUAGGCAGAGAGGACCAUUCAGACUUUGGAGGAUAUGUUGAGGGCAUGUGUUCUUGAUUUUAAAGGUAGUUGGGAUGAUCAUUUUCCAUUAAUUGAGUUUGCUUAUAAUAACAGUUAUCAUUCUAGUAUUCAGAUGGCUCCAUUUUAGGCUCUUUAUGGGUGGAGAUGUAGAUCGCCAGUUGGUUGGUUCAAAGUGGGUGAGGCCGCUUUUAUUGGGCUAGACAUGGUGCUUGAGGCCAUGGAGAAAGUUUAGUUGAUUAGAGAGAUAUUGAAAGCAGCCCAGAGUCGUUAGAAAUCCUAUGCUGACGUGAGAAGAAGAGACCUUGAGUUUGAGGUUGAUGAUCUUGUGUAUUUAAAAGUUUCACGCUUGAAAGGGGUGAAGAGGUUUGGAUAAAAGGGGAAACUUAGUCCCCGUUGUGUAGGUCCUUUCUGUAUUUUGAAUCAUGUUGGGAAGGUGGCGUAUGAUCUUGAGCUACCACAGAUUUAUCCUUAGUUCAUCCAGUGUUUCAUGUGUCCUUGUUGAAGAAGUGCAUGGAUGAUUCAGCUAUUAUAGUUCCUCUAGAAAGUACAACUAUUCAGAACAACCUUUCUUACGAAGAAGUAUCAGUGGAGAUUCAGGAUCAUCAAAUUCGUAGACUAAGGAACAAAGAAGUUGCCUUGGUCAAAGUUCUGUGGCAAAAUCAGUCCGUUGAGGGUGGUACUUGGGAAGCAUAAGAAUACAUGCGUACCAAGUAUCCACAUCUCUUCUCCACAAACUCAGAUUCAGACGAAGGUAAUAGUUUUCCUUCAUUCAGUUCUUUUCCAAUUUCAGAUUCAGCUAUAUAUAGUUACUAUCUUUAUGAGAAUUCAUGUGCUUUCAAAUCAGUUCAAUAGCUCAUUUUAAUUGAGAUUCAGUUAUUCAGUUUAUUUCAGUUAUGCAUGAUAGCUUAUAGCCUCAGAUUCCUCAGUAUUUUCAGCUUAUCUAGCCAUAUUUGAGGAUGAAUAUUCUCAAGGGGGAGAUAUUAUAGUACCCUACACUUUCCUAGAUUAAAUUCAUUCCUAGAAUGUUAAGAAAUAGCUUCCAAAAUCAAUAAUAUUUAUUUCAUGUGGAAUUUUCUAUAUUUACACCUCCCAUUGUGUGGGAAAUUGAAUAAGCUUUCCAUCGAUACCAAGUUCGCCUAAUUCCGACACUCAGUGAAGGAGUUAUGACAUUUUUAAGUUGACAGUGUGCCACCUGGACACUCGGCGUGUCACGAAGGAGGGUAAAAUGAUAAUUGUCAAAUUCCAGUGGCCCUCCACGAUAGCCCCACAUCGCGUAGAAUCCCAUGUUCGUAAUAUUCCCAUUCCUAUGGACCGAUGCGAUCUAGGCGCGUCGAGGAGAAGGCCAAUUUCCUAAUUGUCGAUUUUCAAUAGCCCAACAUGAUAUUAGUGCAUCACACUAGUGGCCAAAAUGGCAUUUAAAAGAGGCACCGCGAUGGUAGCGCAUCACAGAGAAUGUCUAAUUUGCACUCGUCCAUUUUUCAGUAAGACAUCGCGAUAGUGGCGCAUCACGGUGGCCACCCAAAUUAGAAAAAUGUUAUGUUUUCAGUUCCGUCUAGAGGUUUAAAGAGGGCAUUUUGGUCAAUUGCAAAGGCCCAAAUUCGUCCUAAACAAGGACUUAAACAUAUUCUAAGCACUUUAUGCCCAAUUUCAUCUAUUCUCUCCCAAAGCAAAACCUUAGAGCUCUAAAACCUCUUCUCUAAGAAAUCAAAAUCCUCUAUUGAUUCUCACAGAAAGCUUAAGAUUGAGGAUUUCCAAGGCAAGAUAAGCAAGAAUCCAUCUCCAAGAACUCAAAUAGGAAUCAAUAAUUCAAGUUUCUUCAUCUAAUCAUCAAUCAAGGUAUGUGGAGUUUAUGAACAAGGAUCCUUUUUCAUCGUUGUGCCAAAAAUCAAGUGUUAUUUAAAAAUUCCUAUUAUUUUAAUGAAUAUUCAUGAGAUUUGAAUUAGGGUUCAUACCCAUUAUUGCACUUUGCAAGAUUUUUAGAUUUCAAGUGUUUUAGAAGAUGAAUUGCAUUUCUAUUUUCAUAUUUUCAUGCCUAUUGCAUAAAUUUACAGAUUUGAAGAUGAAUUAUCAUUGUCUUCAUUACUAAGAAUGAUUAUUAUGAGGUUUUAACAUGAGUUUGAUGCAUAGGUUACUAAGCCCCAAGUUUAUAUGUUGAUAUUUCAAGAAAGAUGAUCCUUUAAGCAUCCUAUGAGCUAAAUAUUUCAGAUUUACAAUAAAGUUUUGAUUUUUUGAUCCUCAGCUAAGUUUUAAAAUCCACUUUAUAGAUUUAUUAUAGAUUACAGAAAGUAAAAUAGCUUCAUUUACAGACUGACUUAGAUAAGUGCAUAAUUGGUAUCAUAAUAAACCUUAUGCUAGUUUUAAAGUGGAUUUCCAACAAGGUGAGUAUAGCAAAUAAAAAGGGAGUAGUAUUUAGCACCGAGUUGGGUAUGAUUCCAAGGUCUCAUACUCCAGAACUAUAUGCCAUCGUAGAAUUGAGAUUUGAGAGCCCAUAGUGGGUUGAUAUAGUGAUCACUUAAGCUGAGGUUAUACUCCCUAGCAAAAGUAUGACACCUAUCCCCAUAUGAGGUUUCUUUCUUAGGAUGACAAGACAUUGGACUCCAUGUAGCUCUUAUGGUUUAUGUCGGUUAAGAGAACCUCCCUUGCAGAAUAGUUUUUCCCUAUUAGUAAAACCUAAUAGAAAAGAUUUACAGAAAAUCUUUUAGAAAACUAAGUGUAAAGGUUGACAAAGUUUACUCAGAUUAUGCUUUUCAGAAAGAUAACAAUUACAGACUUCAAGUUUUAGAUUUCAAAUUUUAGAAGUAACCUCUUUCUACACUUAGACAGUAUAAUUUAUGAAUAUAAUACGAGUAUAGCUUUUAGAACUAAAUUUUAUGAGUCACUAGUUUUAUAAAAUAUGAUUGAUUUAUUAUUCAUGAUUUCAGUAUUUCAAAUAUUCCAGCUCAUGUGAGUCAUUUAUAUUUAGCAUACAUUGUUAAAUAAAUUAUGAUGAUUAGAUGAUGUUUUACUGAUUCAUUUCACCCCUGUAUACUUAAUACAUCCUUAAAUUACUGAUCCACAUAUAUGUCUAUGUGCUAUAUUUUCUCAUAAUGUAGGUUUAGGUGCUCAGUAUCAGCAGCGUGAGUAGUUGGAGCAUCUCUAUCUACAUCCUACAGUUGGUGUGUCCUCAUAGUUCGGGGACUUGUUCACUCAAAUUUUGCAGCUUAUCAGUUUACAUGAUUUAGUAUUCUUUUCAGAUAGUUUGAGUUAGCUGGGGGUUUGUCCUAGUGACUCUCUAGAUGUAAGUAGUAGAGGCUUGUCAGACUAUUAGUUGUGAUUCAGCUUAUUUCAUAUUGAUGUUUCAUACAUUAUAUUCAUAUUACUCUUAGUUAUUUCAGAUAGCUUCUGCAUUCAGUAUGCUUUCAUGUCUAUGUUACCUUGAUUAUGAGAUUUAUAUCUAAUAGAAGGCAGACAGGGUUAUAUUAAGUCUACUCAUAGUCUUGAGCACUUGUUACAUCUCAUGAUCAGAUUUCAGGGCAUUACAGAUAGUCUGAAAAACUCUAAAAAUCAUAAGGAGUUGAUGGGACAAAUCCCCAACCACCUUCGACCAACUAAACUUAAAGAAAUACUAAACUAACUAUAAUAACUCACAUUCUCGAUUGAUGAAGACUCACCACUACUGCUCCUAAGUCAUAGUGAGCUAACUAAGAGCGAUUCGUCUAAACUUAUGUUAUAAGACAACACAAUGCAAAAGAAAAAUAUUUUAUCUAUACUUUGAAUGUACUGGUACUAAGGUAAGGUCAAACUAAAUUACAUAAGAAAACUGAACGUGGAUACAUGAAUAUGAAAUAGUAAGAAUUCAACACCAAGUAAAAUAUGAACUAAGAUAAUCUGUAUAACAUGAGUAACUAAAUGUCUGACAACUGUGCCCUCGGUCAUUAAAACCUGAUCUGUUCUAGCCUGAAUACUGAACUGAGACUGGGAGAGCUAUCAUGUAAUUAACAUGCCCCGAUCUGAGCCAAUCAAGGUCCAACCUAUAACCCCAGUUAAAAGGGUGUUAGUACCUUGCCAUGGGUACUAACACUUGCUGAUGAUCUGGAUCCAUAAGGCUGAUGUCUCGAAGGACUAGGGAGUCACCCCUCUACUAGCACGUACCCUUAAAAUAUUGUCAACCCUCUACUGGCAGGAUGACCUCUAAUACCUACGCUACCUACAUAGUUCUAGAACUCAGGGACUUCUACUAAAUGUUACACCCUCUGCUGGUACGUAAGCCCCUAUCCCUAGGUUCACUUGGUGCUAAAUUCUACUACCAACUGAACUGACACUAUUAUUAUUAUUGGUUUAAUAUGAUGUGGUAAUGUACUGAUAAGUGCUCAUCGUGAACAUGAUAUUCUAAAUAUAGUAAUACAAUUUUAUUUUGACUGACUUAUUACUUGAAACCUAAAACAUAUAAAAACAAAUUGGUAUCAGGUGUUCAUAACCCUCAAUGAUACUUUAAAUAUGAUAACAUCAUUUAAACCACUGGUAUAAAAUCAUAAUUCAGGGACCCAAAACAUAAAAUAGUUCACUAUACUGAUGUAUUACAUGAAUUUGAACAUAGGAAUGAGUUAAACUUGGGAGGAUAACAUGCUCAUAUGGUUUAGUUCAUAGCUUGAUAAUUUAACAUGUGAUCAAUUGAAUGUGACAUGGGUAAUUGAAAUUCAAAGAAAAAAAUAACCUAAUUCACAUGGAUAAACAUGUUGACAUAACUUGAAUUCAAAUUACUAAGAAAAAUGGAUUAAAUUAACUAUUUACAUAGAUAAUUUUACAAAAAGAAUUAAAAAUUCAUACUUGAAGGAAAAAGGUAUUUGGGAAUCAAGGGGUGGAAGUAACCCAUUGAAGAAUACCUUAUAUACUUCAAUUGUCUGAACUCUUGAAGAAGUCUUGAAAUUCAAACUUUAAUCCUUGAUUGUUGGGGAUGAAAUCUUGAAUUUCUUGUUCAUGAGAGAGGGGUAAGGGUUUAUGUAAGUUAUCUGAUGGAGAAUGAGCAAACAAUGUCCUUUUAGGCGUUAAAAAUCAUGUAUUGUAUGUUUAGGGUAAGGGGUAAAGACCAAAUUUCCCCCUAAACAUUUAGUUGAAACAUAGGAAAAAUGCAGCCGCUGCGGCGCGGAGGCUAGUUUUUGUGAUGGCUUCCGCGGCGCGGCCCUAACGCAGAGGCUUGCUGCCUUCGUGGUCAAAAAUGCCUUGAACACCUUUCAAAAAUUCUAAAAUUCAUCCGGGACACCCCUUUAUCAUCUCUAAACAUGCUUUAACCAAAUAAAUCAAUGUCUCAAUUUUGGGAAGGCCAAAAAUAAAAUUCGUGAAAUCUUGGGGUCUUGAAAUUGACUAAUUCCCUUUUUACUUAGUGUAAAACUUGUGGCAUAGACCGAUUAAACAUGCUACUAAGAUCUGAAAUGUUCCUAUAAUCUUCUGGGAUUAUACGAUGAUGUUUAUGUGGAAAUUAUAAGUGAUUCUGAUCAGCAAAUUUCCAUUCAAAAAAAAAUUCUAGAGGAUCAAAAAAUAUGCUAAUUUCUAUGAUUUAUGCUAUGUGCACAGAAUCUCAAAGAAAUUCACUAUGGAAUAGCAUAUAUAAUCUAGCUAAUAUUAA
This 21246-nucleotide long non-coding RNA is filed under the name Capsicum annuum. RNAcentral's name for it is "long non-coding RNA (CANN_LNC008159)". The record is from RNAcentral. Lineage: Eukaryota; Viridiplantae; Streptophyta; Magnoliopsida; Solanales; Solanaceae.